This 439-nucleotide long non-coding RNA is filed under the name Capra hircus (goat). RNAcentral describes it as "lncRNA (ENSCHIG00000005824.1)". Lineage: Eukaryota; Metazoa; Chordata; Mammalia; Artiodactyla; Bovidae. The record is from RNAcentral.
GUGCAUGUCUAUCAAACCAUCAUGUGGUACAUUUGAAAUAUAUAUAUAGUUUUUAAAGAGAAAAAGAAACCAAGAAGAACAAAAGGGAAGCAUGGCACAAGAUUCUUGCCCUCAAGAUAUUUACUGUAUAAUCAGAGUGAAAGGAAGAAUUUACUGAUGGUCAAAGACACAUGGACCAUGGAAUUAACUAAUGAUAUAUCCAGGAAUUCAGAGGACAAAGAGGAAUAACCAGUCUAAGCAACCCCUCAUAUACAAGUUUUUGGUCAAUAAGAUGGGAUUCAAAGAGAACUGCUAAUGGCCUGCAGGAGCCUGCUCACAGCGAAGGUGCCUUCUGAACCCUUUCAGUUCAUUCUCUUCUGGGUAAGUCACUGUCAGAUUUGAGUUUCACUCCUUUGUGUGCAGCUCUCUGAUCUAAGCAAUGUUGUUUAACAUAAAUUGU